CAUCUGCUGGCCUGUUUCGCAGGCCACGCCAGUCCGCGUGGCGGGGACACCCUGGAUGCGGUGCUCGCCGCGGCGGAUGG
Molecule: transfer RNA, 80 nt
Filed under: Chitiniphilus shinanonensis
Lineage: Bacteria; Pseudomonadati; Pseudomonadota; Betaproteobacteria; Neisseriales; Chitinibacteraceae
Description: tRNA-Arg
Source: RNAcentral